AGGAGCGUGGUGGAAUUGGUAGACACGGCCCCAUGUAAAGGGGCUGUCCUUCGCGGCGUGCGGGUUCGAGUCCCGUCGUUCCGU
RNAcentral lists this transfer RNA (84 nucleotides) under Microbacterium phage PauloDiaboli. It matches the Rfam family "tRNA". From Rfam's summary of the family: Transfer RNA (tRNA) molecules are approximately 80 nucleotides in length. Lineage: Duplodnaviria; Heunggongvirae; Uroviricota; Caudoviricetes. The record is from Rfam by way of RNAcentral.